UACGGAGGGUGCAAGCGUUAAUCGGAAUUACUGGGCGUAAAGCGUGCGUAGGCUGUUGCUCAAGUCAAGGGUGAAAUCCCCGGGCUCACCCCGGGAACUGCCUUUGAAACUGGGUAACUGGAGUAUGUGAGAGGGUGGCGGAAUUCCAGGUGUAGGAGUGAAAUCCGUAGAUAUCUGGAGGAACACCAGUGGCGAAGGCGGCCACCUGGCACAUAACUGACGCUGAGGUA
RNAcentral lists this ribosomal RNA (230 nucleotides) under uncultured microorganism. RNAcentral describes it as "partial 16S ribosomal RNA". It matches the Rfam family "Bacterial small subunit ribosomal RNA", at positions 524 to 753 of the family's 1533-position model. The record is from RNAcentral.